This is a non-coding RNA of Enterococcus sp. 2G9_DIV0600, 183 nucleotides long. The record is from Rfam. Lineage: Bacteria; Bacillati; Bacillota; Bacilli; Lactobacillales; Enterococcaceae.
AAUAACUGAUUAUUUGACAGUUGGAAUGAAAGCCGUCAUGUUGGCUGAAACAGCUGGUCUGAUACUCCUGCAUGCGAUUAAACAAUGCAGAGUUUAAUCGUGUGAUAGCCAGGUGAAGUCGGCAGAACAAUACCUAAGUCAAUUCAUAUUGAUAUGGUUGCGGAUAUGCCGGGACGCUAUAAA